GUUAAUUUGGGAGCUAGGCAUUUCUGAGAUCUUCUAGUGCCAUCCCCCAAAGUCUGGAUGACUUCGUUCCUAUGGUGGGUGGGUGCUCAGGGGCAGAUAAGUCUGCCUAACUAGGGGAAGAAAGGUAAUCCUGUUCCCCUUGAGAUUAGGGAGGGGCAGGGAGAGAGGAAGAGAAAGAAGCAUGUUCUUUUAAAUAAGUUGCAGUGGCCAAGCAGCAAGGGCUACAUUCAAAGCAUGGAGUGGAAAGGUCUCACAGGGCAGAGCUGGGAUUUGAACCCUAGGACCCCAAGUGCUCACCUUCACCACCUUCAGCACCCUGACUUCUUGUCCCAGAAACAACUUAUCUUGGAAGCACUGAUCCUGAAAGAACCGCUCCAUUCUUUGCCAGACAUCCUUCAAUUCUUCCUUCCAAUCCUCCUGGGGCUGAAGGCUGUGCUUCAGUAAGGCGUCCAGCCUGUCCCCAGGGGUCUCAUACAGGUCCGGGGAGGGAUUCAUCUCUGCAGGGCUAGGAUGCCCCUUGCAAUAUAUUCUUGGUGCUCCUGCUAGCCCAAGAGCUGCACAACGUGAGGCGGAGGGGAUCUGUCCUGUCGGUUUGCAGCUAGAGCUGGAAGACUUCUCCGGGCAACCCAGACUCCUCCCCCAGGGCUGCAGCGAGCCUCUUGCCACACGGGAAAACGAAACUGAGCUUUCUAAAGAAAGGAAACCGAAAUUUUGCAGAGAUGGAAAUUUCUCUAAGGCGGUGAACCCUCGGCCCCCAUAACCUAUGAGAAGGAGGAGUCUUUAAGAAACCAUCAUCAGAGGGUGUUAAAUGCUUGAGACUCGAAGAUCUCUGAAAUAAAGGGUUCAUUGAGCUGUUACAAAUACUAGCCCAAAGGAAAAGGAGAGAUGAUGGGGUAACUUCCCCUGCUACCAGCAACACGGCCAGAUAGCCCUUGGAGAAGGUUCACUGGGUCUAAGGAGGGAUUUUAUAGAAGAUUUUG
Molecule: non-coding RNA, 980 nt
Organism: Ictidomys tridecemlineatus (thirteen-lined ground squirrel)
Lineage: Eukaryota; Metazoa; Chordata; Mammalia; Rodentia; Sciuridae
Source: RefSeq, a predicted model, not a curated record